This 365-nucleotide ribosomal RNA is filed under the name Escherichia coli. RNAcentral's name for it is "partial 23S ribosomal RNA". It matches the Rfam family "Bacterial large subunit ribosomal RNA", at positions 1261 to 1629 of the family's 2925-position model. Lineage: Bacteria; Pseudomonadati; Pseudomonadota; Gammaproteobacteria; Enterobacterales; Enterobacteriaceae. The record is from RNAcentral.
CUGUGAGGUAUGCUGGAGGUAUCAGAAGUGCGAAUGCUGACAUAAGUAACGAUAAAGCGGGUGAAAAGCCCGCUCGCCGGAAGACCAAGGGUUCCUGUCCAACGUUAAUCGGGGCAGGGUGAGUCGACCCCUAAGGCGAGGCCGAAAGGCGUAGUCGAUGGGAAACAGGUUAAUAUUCCUGUACUUGGUGUUACUGCGAAGGGGGGACGGAGAAGGCUAUGUUGGCCGGGCGACGGUUGUCCCGGUUUAAGCGUGUAGGCUGGUUUUCCAGGCAAAUCCGGAAAAUCAAGGCUGAGGCGUGAUGACGAGGCACUACGGUGCUGAAGCAACAAAUGCCCUGCUUCCAGGAAAAGCCUCUAAGCAUC